RNAcentral lists this ribosomal RNA (57 nucleotides) under Plukenetia stipellata. RNAcentral describes it as "partial 26S ribosomal RNA". Lineage: Eukaryota; Viridiplantae; Streptophyta; Magnoliopsida; Malpighiales; Euphorbiaceae. RNAcentral also lists the same sequence under 4 other names. The record is from RNAcentral.
GACCCCAGGUCAGGCGGGACCACCCGCUGAGUUUAAGCAUAUCAAUAAGCGGAGGAA